Molecule: ribosomal RNA, 497 nt
Filed under: uncultured bacterium
Lineage: Bacteria
Description: partial 16S ribosomal RNA
Rfam family: Bacterial small subunit ribosomal RNA
Source: RNAcentral
GAUGAACGCUGGCGGCGUGCCUAAUACAUGCAAGUCGAGCGAACAGACGAGGAGCUUGCUCCCCUGACGUUAGCGGCGGACGGAUGAGUAACACGUGGAUAACCUACCUAUAAGACUGGGAUAACUUCGGGAAACCGGAGCUAAUACCGGAUAAUAUAUUGAACCGCAUGGUUCAAUAGUGAAAGACGGUUUUGCUGUCACUUAUAGAUGGAUCCGCGCCGCAUUAGCUAGUUGGUAAGGUAACGGCUUACCAAGGCAACGAUGCGUAGCCGACCUGAGAGGGUGAUUGGCCACACUGGAACUGAGACACGGUCCAGACUCCUACGGGAGGCAGCAGUAGGGAAUCUUCCGCAAUGGGCGAAAGCCUGACGGAGCAACGCCGCGUGAGUGAUGAAGGUCUUCGGAUCGUAAAACUCUGUUAUUAGGGAAGAACAAAUGUGUAAGUAACUAUGCACGUCUUGACGGUACCUAAUCAGAAAGCCACGGCUAACUACGUG